GCUAAGGUGCAGAAAGCAAUUCAGCCCCGUCCAUAGAAAGUUCUAUGGGGGGAGGAACGGAACACACGCGCAGGGGGGCGCUAAAGCUCUUAUUAGGCCCAUUACCCCACAAAGAGAGGAAGGACCAGGUCCGCACACGCCUUCUCGAGGGCUACUAUACUACCACUACCACAGCUGGCAAAGCCAGCCCGGACAUCCAGCAAUGAGGUGCCGAGCAGCUUCUCGUUCUCAAAAGCCAUCUUAGACCUUAAUGCAGCAGCAGCUGUGCUGUCGAUCCCGAUCUCGAUCCAGUCGUCGAUGAAGCAGCAGAGCCAUGCUGCAGCCGAUCGAUCAAUGACGUGACUCACGCCGGGCGCAUCUACCAGCUUGCGCAUCUGUGAGGGCCCACAGCUGCUGCCAUGCCGAAAAUCCCACCUCCGCCCCGCCGGCUAGAAGAAAUGAAGUGCCGUAUAGAAAGGGUCAUAUGACGUGGCUCAUUCCAAAGGAAUUCCGGCUCAGAUAUCACUGCUCCAAACGUCGCCACGGAAGCCUUAUACAAUAUGUGGAGCAAGGCACCCAUUUCUCGUCGACUACCACAAAAAGGAAAGUGGAACCGGCAGACUCGUACUGUCCUUGCAGAGGAAAGAGUUAGAAUGNNNNN
RNAcentral lists this long non-coding RNA (640 nucleotides) under Elaeis guineensis (African oil palm). RNAcentral's name for it is "long non-coding RNA (EGUI_LNC070073)". The record is from RNAcentral. Lineage: Eukaryota; Viridiplantae; Streptophyta; Magnoliopsida; Arecales; Arecaceae.